CAAAUCCCAACCAGAUAGAUUGAAAACUUCUAUUGGCCAAAAGUUGCAUAACAAUAGUCUUCGAAAAAAAUCCUUUCAAAGACUUGGGGAAAACACAUUUGUUGUGGAUGGCGGAUACGCGGUACGCCAAAGUUGCCAAAUGAACGUUAAAGUCCAUGGAAGGAGACUGUAAGAGAGACUCGCGUCAAAGCAUACAUACAACCGUAGAAGGCCCUUAAGAGACAUGAGACGUCCC
This is a long non-coding RNA of Brassica oleracea var. oleracea, 235 nucleotides long. RefSeq lists it as uncharacterized. The transcript is spliced from 2 exons. Lineage: Eukaryota; Viridiplantae; Streptophyta; Magnoliopsida; Brassicales; Brassicaceae. The record is from RefSeq and is a predicted model, not a curated record.